Molecule: ribosomal RNA, 1584 nt
Filed under: Miroplana shenzhensis
Lineage: Eukaryota; Metazoa; Platyhelminthes; Tricladida; Uteriporidae
Description: partial 28S ribosomal RNA
Rfam family: Eukaryotic large subunit ribosomal RNA
Source: RNAcentral
CGACUUUCGUGGUAGCGGCGAGCGACCUGGAAUUAGCCCAACACUGAAUCUUGCAUUGUCUCAAUGUCGAGAGUUGUAGUGUAAAGGUUGUAUCUUUGACGAUGGCGUUGACUUCAAAUGCGCUUGAAUGCGAUAAUGUCCAGAGAGGGUGAUAGGCCCGUAGGAGUCAACAAAGUUGUUAUUGGUAUUUCCAAUGAGUCGGAUUGUUUGAGAAUGCAGUCCAAAUCAGGUGGUAGAUUCCAUCUAAGGCUAAAUACUUGUCUGAGUCCGAUAGUAAACAAGUACCGUGAGGGAAAGUUGAAAAGAACUUUGAAGAGAGAGUUAAAUAGUACGUGAAAUUGCUUACAGGUAAACGAGUAGAUCUGAAGGUUGGUGUAUAGAAAUCAAUGUAUUAUAUGAUACUAGUGUGGCUGAGAGUCUGUAAAAAGUUCUUGGUAGCAUAAUGUUGUCGUGUGAUGCAUGCACUUUUUGUACAUCAAAUAUGUGUCCAGUAGAACUACCUUUCUUUCGUAGUGUUGAAGUUGACUGUAUCUUCGGAUUCAGUUUUAUAGCUCACUGCAAGGUUGGGUAGCGUACUGAUAAAUAUUGGUCUAACAAUAUGAUUGCACUAUUGCUUAUAUCUGUGCUAAGUAGACUCGAUAGAGACUGCAUGGUAUAGAUGUUUGUGAUUAUGUAGUUAUAGUUGGAUCAGAGUCACAUUGUUUAUGUAAGAAAUCUACUCGACCCGUCUUGAAACACGGACCAAGGAGUUUUAUUUGUAUACAAGUCAAAGGGCAAAAAACCCCACGGCGAAAUGAAAGUAAAGGUUUACGUACGUAAACUGUAAUGUGAUCCUGGUUUACCAGGCGUAACAUUGACCUACACGAAUGUGUUCGCACAUGUGUAGAGUUCGAGUAUACAGGUAGAGACCCGAUAGAUGAUGAACUUUGGAAGGGCAUUUCGAAGCCAUUUGAAAGAAUGGUGGAGGAAAGAAGCAGUUUUGACGUGCAAAUCAAUUGUCAGACCUUUCUAAAGGGGCGAAAGACUAAUCGAAUCAUCUAGUAGCUGGUUCCCUCCGAAGUUUCCCUCAGGAUAGCUGGUGCUCUGUAAUAGUUGUAUCUGGUAAAGCGAAUGAUUAGAAGUAUUUGGGUCAUAACGGCCUAAACUUAUUCUCAAACUUUAAAUGGGUACGAUGUGUAACUAUCUUCAUUGUAGUUGCACUCAUUAAUAUGAGUACUUAGUGGGCCAUUUUUGGUAAGCAGAACUGGCGAUGUGGAAUGAACCAAACAUCUAGUUAAGGUGCCUAAUGUCACGCUCAUGAGAUACCAGAAAAGGUGUUGGUUGGUAUAGACAGCAGGACGGUGGACAUGGAAGUCGUCAUCCGCUAAGGAGUGUGUAACAACUCACCUGCCGAAUCAACCAGCCCUGAAAAUGGAUGGCGCUGUAGCGUGGAACCUAUACUGGAUUGGCGACGCAAGCUUUAUGCGAGUAAGUGUCGUCAUGUAGGAGGGUGCCGUGGUUGUAUUGAAGCCUAUGGCGUGAGUCAUGGUGGAACGGCCACGGGUACAGAUCUUGGUAGUAAGUAAGCAAAUUAAUUCCAAGAUA